AAAAAAAUAAAAAUGGAAUUAAAAAAAAAUACAGGCCGAGCUACUCCAUUACUGGAAACAAAACAUACAAGUUUUGGAGAUGAAACUAUGGAAUGUGUUUUCGUAGAUGAAACAGGCGCAAAGAUUCAUGCUUCCUCCAAAGUAAUCUCUCUGUUGGAGAAUGGAGAUUCGUCGAAAAAUUUAAGGUUACAAAAAAAAAAAAAAAAAAAUUAAGGUUACUGGAAAUUCUGGCAAAUAUCGCCCAACUGACCUCAAAUACAAGGUCGUUUUGACAGCUGACACAGUGAUAACUCCAUCUAGGUUAUCGGACGUCAAUCCCUCGAAGCUAUUUGAAAAUUGAAUUCCCAUGUCCCUAAACGAUUUAAUGGGUGAAGUUAUUGACAUAGAAGGAAUACAAACAUUUCGGUUCACAUAACACAGCGGGUCAAGUUGUUUCAUGUUGCUUGUGGGGAAAGUAAGCAGCACAAGUUUCAUCUCAAUUUGAAGAUACAAAUGAUGAAACGAUAAUAUCUGAUAAUUUUUGCAAAACUCAGCUUCUACGGAGACUUAUGCAGAAUGAUCUUCCUCUUGCUGAUAUUGAGCAAAAGAAUGAUAAAAAGAUGAUCAAAUGAGACUGUUGGGUAUAUAUAACAUUUUAAAUUAUCACUCGAAGUCAACACAGAAGAACAUCAUUAGUUAUAUUAUGAUACAUCGAAAACUAAUUAUGAAAAAUAAAUAUCGAUGUAUGAAAAAACUCUUUCUAUUUCACUUAAUUUAGUCAAACACA
Molecule: long non-coding RNA, 766 nt
Organism: Raphanus sativus (radish)
Lineage: Eukaryota; Viridiplantae; Streptophyta; Magnoliopsida; Brassicales; Brassicaceae
Exons: 5
Source: RefSeq, a predicted model, not a curated record